UAUAUCUGACCACACCACCCUGAGCACACCUAAUCUUGCCAAAUCUUGGAAGACGAGCAGCGCUGGGCCUGGUUAGUAGUGGUUAGGAGACCAUCUGGGAGCACAAGGUUUGAUAAGU
Molecule: ribosomal RNA, 118 nt
Filed under: Amphilophus citrinellus (Midas cichlid)
Lineage: Eukaryota; Metazoa; Chordata; Actinopteri; Cichliformes; Cichlidae
Source: RNAcentral